GAAAAUCAUAUGAUUUGUAGCUUAUUAUGACUCAUGAUUAAAGCUAAAACACCAUGUGAAGCUUUAGGAAUGGCUUGGGAAUCUCCAUCAUUAUUAGUCAUACUUUAUGUUAUUUUAUGCCAAGGUAGCUAAUGUAUCCCUCCCUUCUCUAUAUAUUUCAGCCAUUUAGGCCUUGUAAUGCAUCAUAUAUUGUAAUCCCAUUUAUGCUCUUUGAGUAUAUUUCGAAUUGGUGUGAAGCUGAUUCAAACAAUUUCCUAAUGAAAUAUCUCU
Molecule: long non-coding RNA, 270 nt
Filed under: Nicotiana benthamiana
Lineage: Eukaryota; Viridiplantae; Streptophyta; Magnoliopsida; Solanales; Solanaceae
Description: long non-coding RNA (NBEN_LNC003339)
Source: RNAcentral